AGAGUUUGAUCCUGGCUCAGAUUGAACGCUGGCGGUAUGCCUUACACAUGCAAGUCGAACGGUAGAGGGGCAACCCUUGAGAGUGGCGAACGGGUGAGUAAUACAUCGGAACGUGCCCAGUCGUGGGGGAUAACGUAGCGAAAGCUACGCUAAUACCGCAUACGACCCGAGGGUGAAAGCGGGGGACUCGCAAGAGCCUCGCGCGAUUGGAGCGGCCGAUGGCAGAUUAGGUAGUUGGUGGGGUAAAGGCCCACCAAGCCUGCGAUCUGUAGCUGGUCUGAGAGGACGACCAGCCACACUGGGACUGAGACACGGCCCAGACUCCUACGGGAGGCAGCAGUGGGGAAUUUUGGACAAUGGGCGAAAGCCUGAUCCAGCCAUACCGCGUGCGGGAAGAAGGCCUUCGGGUUGUAAACCGCUUUUGUCAGGGAAGAAAUCCUUUGGGUUAAUACCUCGGAGGGAUGACGGUACCUAAGAAU
RNAcentral lists this ribosomal RNA (479 nucleotides) under uncultured Leptothrix sp. RNAcentral describes it as "bacterial SSU rRNA". It matches the Rfam family "Bacterial small subunit ribosomal RNA", at positions 8 to 486 of the family's 1533-position model. The record is from RNAcentral. Lineage: Bacteria; Pseudomonadati; Pseudomonadota; Betaproteobacteria; Burkholderiales; Sphaerotilaceae.